GAUGAACGCUGGCGGCGUGUCUAAGGCAUGCAAGUCGAACGGACUGUUAUUUGUAGCAAUACUUAGAACAGUUAGUGGCAAACGGGUGCGUAACACAUUGGUAACCUGCCUCAAAGUCGGGCAUAAUCCCGCGAAAGUGGGACUAAUUCCACGAUAGUCAUCGAAGGUGAGAUUCCUUCGAUGUAAAGUCGCAAGACGCUUUGAGAGGGGCCUAUGGCCUAUCAGCUUGUUGGUGAGGUAACGGCUCACCAAGGCUAUGACGGGUAGGGGGUGUGAGAGCACGACCCCCCCUCACUGGGACUGAGACACUGCCCAGACACCUACGGGUGGCUGCAGUCGAGAAUAUUCCCCAAUGGCCGAAAGGCUGAGGGAGCGACGCCGCGUGCAGGAAUAAGGCCU
This 399-nucleotide ribosomal RNA is filed under the name uncultured bacterium. Its description in RNAcentral is "bacterial SSU rRNA". It matches the Rfam family "Bacterial small subunit ribosomal RNA", at positions 28 to 417 of the family's 1533-position model. The record is from RNAcentral.